UGUCCUACGGGGGGCAGCAGUGAGGAAUAUUGGUCAAUGGGCGGAAGCCUGAACCAGCCAAGUCCCGUGAGGGAAUAGGGCCCUACGGGUCGUAAACCUCUUUUGCCGGGGAGCAAGGGCCGGGACGCGUCCCGGCCCGGAGAGUACCCGGAGAAAAAGCAUCGGCUAACUCCGUGCCAGCAGCCGCGGUAAUACGGAGGGUGCGAGCGUUAUCCGGAUUUAUUGGGUUUAAAGGGUGCGUAGGCGGGCUUUUAAGUCAGCGGUAAAAAUUCGGGGCGC
Molecule: ribosomal RNA, 279 nt
Filed under: uncultured bacterium
Lineage: Bacteria
Description: partial 16S ribosomal RNA
Rfam family: Bacterial small subunit ribosomal RNA
Source: RNAcentral